Molecule: ribosomal RNA, 435 nt
Filed under: uncultured bacterium
Lineage: Bacteria
Description: partial 16S ribosomal RNA
Rfam family: Bacterial small subunit ribosomal RNA
Source: RNAcentral
AGCGAACGCUGGCGGCAGGCUUAACACAUGCAAGUCGAACGGGCUUCUUCGGAUUUCAGUGGCAGACGGGUGAGUAACACGUGGGAACGUGCCCUUCUGUUCGGACUAACUCAGGGAAACUUGAUCUAAUACCGGAUACGCCCUUUUGGUGGAAGGUUUACUGCCGAAGGAUCGGCCCGCGUCUGAUUUGCUUGUUGGUAGGGUAACGGCCUUCCAAGGCGACGAUCAGUAGCUGGUCUGAGAGGAUGAUCAGCCACACUGGGACUGAGACACGGACCAGACUCCGACGGGAGGCAGCAGUGGGGAAUAUUGGACAAGGGGCGCAAGCCUGAUCAAGCCAUGCCGCGUGAGUGAGGAAGGCCUUAGGGUUGUAAAGCUCUUUUGUCCGGGACGAGAAUGACGGUACCGGAAGAAUAAGCCCCGGCUAACUUCGUG